Molecule: ribosomal RNA, 381 nt
Filed under: uncultured eukaryote
Lineage: Eukaryota
Description: partial 18S ribosomal RNA
Rfam family: Eukaryotic small subunit ribosomal RNA
Source: RNAcentral
CAAUAGCGUAUAUUAAAGCUGUUGCGGUUAAAAAGCUCGUAGUUGGAUUUCUGUCAAGGACAACUGGUCCGCCCUCCGGGUGAGCACAUAGUUUGGUCUUGACAUCUUGCUGGAAGCUGUUGCUGCACUUGGCUGUGUGGCGCAGUGUUCAGCACUUUCACUUUGAGGAAAUUGGAGUGUUUCAAGCAGGCACAUGCCUUUGGACACAGUAGCAUGGAAUAAUUAGAUUGGGCAUUUGCUCCAAUUUGUCGGUUUCUGGAGCUGAGGUGAGUAUUAAUGGGGAUUGUUGGGGGCACCCGAAUUUAGCCGUCAGAGGUGAAAUUCUUGGAUCUGCUAAAGACGGACAACUGCGAAAGCGUUUGCCCAGGAUGUUUUCAUUGA